This is a long non-coding RNA of Rhincodon typus (whale shark), 1786 nucleotides long. RefSeq lists it as uncharacterized. The transcript is spliced from 5 exons. The record is from RefSeq and is a predicted model, not a curated record. Lineage: Eukaryota; Metazoa; Chordata; Chondrichthyes; Orectolobiformes; Rhincodontidae.
CAUCUUGAAUUAGCAACAGGAUCGACGCUUCUCAUUGGCUGGACGGGUUAAAGCGGCACGUGACCUUGGCCGGGGGGCCCGCACCACGGAGCAAACCGGCGGCUGAUUGGUCCGGUCUCCGUCACUUCCGCAAUUGCCAUGUCUCGCGAGAUCUGAGCAGAGGAUGCCCAUGGGAAGGGAUAGGGGAUGCGACAAAGGUGUAAACAAAAAUCAUGUAGAGUACAAAUGAGACAGAGAGGAUGACACUUUUUUCCCCCAAUAGUACAAGGGGCAUAGGUUUAAGGUCGGAGGGAGAAAUUUUUUCACCCAGGAGUAGUGAGAAUCUGGAAAACAGUCUGAAAAUUUCAAGUAGUGGUAAGACAUGCACUUGUGUUGCCAUUAGGCUCCAGGGCUGUUGGCCAACAGCUGGAAAAUGGGAUUAGUGCAGUCAGAUCUUCCAGUGUUUGAGCUUCUAUAUCUGGCAAGAUAGUGGAACCCCCUCCAUUACCUCUGAAACUAAAACCUAGCUUUAAAAUUACUAAAGUGUUUUGACUGUAGCUGACUGGCCAUGCAAUCGCCAUUGUUCUCUCUUGUACUAAAACAGCCAGUUUAAAUGCCUUCCCAUAAUUAGGUGCUGCCAAAACCUGUGUGAUGAUCAGUACAGCUUUCUCUUUCCUUUCAAAUUUCUUGCCUUUAAUAAAUUAAUCAAGGGAAGCAAAACAGUGCUCAAAUUCAGAACAGACUUCCAUUAAAAUUUAGUCAUGUCAAUAUAAUUGAAUUCCGCAUUUCGUCUUGGGCAGGGAAAAGGCCAAGAUGGCCCUUACCUUUGGCUUCUCUAGGUCUUGGACUUGUUCUCACAGUGUGCCCAAAUAAGUCAUUUUUACCUUGGCAAAUUUACAUUUAGCCAGAUCUGUGACCAAAUGGGCUCUUUGCACAGUUACAAAAUAUUGUGAAUAUUCUUUCCAGGUUUGGAUGAACACAACAUCAUGGGGAUAUAUACAACACAGCUGCAUUAUCCUUCAAUUACCAUGUUAGUUAAUUGUUCAAAAAUCACUGGUGCAUUUUUCAUACCAAAUAGUCAAUCUUACAUUGAUAAAGUCCACUUGGAUCAUUAAUACUAAAGUUUAUUUGGCUGUGUACUCAAUGGAACUUGCCAACGUGCUUUUAACAGAGUCGUUUGUGUGUGGAAUGAAAUCCCAGAGGAAGUGGUGGAUGCGUGUACAGCUAAAAUGUUUAAAAGACAUUUAGGUCGCCAUGCCUGAAUUGAGUUCCUGUUCAACAACAUAGUAAUGCAAACAGUUUCCCACAGACCUGAAAACUCUCUUGAUCUGAACAGCAGCUUCUGAAAAAGAGUUAUUCACUCCUACUCAACUCAGCAAACUCACCAUGAUGACAGUGGUAAUUGUUUCUGAAAGACUGGGAUCAGCUCCUGAAAUGGGGGACGUCGAGCUGGAUCAGAUUCCCAACACUUGUUCAUCAGCUGGUAAACCUGGGCAAAGGAGACAAAGAGAGAGAGAGGGGAAAGAGCUCGAUUUUCUCCCCUGAAUUCCAGGGCUCCCUCAACACCUCAUACUUUCAGCACUUAGACCAUCAGAACGUGCCUCCAGCAAUCCACAGAAUCGUGACCAGCUUCAGACCAAACUACAAAGAGGUCAAACAGGCAAGUUCAAAAGAAUAUCUUCAAGGAAGCAGCAGUGAGGAAAGGAAUUCCACAAUUUAAGGCCCCAGCGGCAAACAGCACAGCCACCAACAGGGAAGGGAUUACAAACUGGGAUUGCACAAGAGGCCAGAUACAGAUGGCGCCAUC